This 445-nucleotide ribosomal RNA is filed under the name uncultured bacterium. RNAcentral's name for it is "partial 16S ribosomal RNA". It matches the Rfam family "Bacterial small subunit ribosomal RNA", at positions 354 to 796 of the family's 1533-position model. The record is from RNAcentral.
GUGAGGAAUAUUGGUCAAUGGGCGGGAGCCUGAACCAGCCAAGUCGCGUGAAGGAAGAAGGAUCUAUGGUUCGUAAACUUCUUUUGCAGGGGAAUAAAGUGCAGGACGUGUCCUGUUUUGUAUGUACCCUGAGAAUAAGGAUCGGCUAACUCCGUGCCAGCAGCCGCGGUAAUACGGAGGAUCCGAGCGUUAUCCGGAUUUAUUGGGUUUAAAGGGUGCGUAGGUGGUUUGAUAAGUCAGCGGUGAAAGUUUGCAGCUUAACUGUAAAAAUGCCGUUGAAACUGUCGGACUUGAGUGUAAAUGAGGUAGGCGGAAUGCGUGGUGUAGCGGUGAAAUGCAUAGAUAUCACGCAGAACUCCGAUUGCGAAGGCAGCUUACUAAGCUACAACUGACACUGAAGCACGAAAGCGUGGGGAUCAAACAGGAUUAGAUACCCGUGUAGUCC